UUCAAGGUGUUUAUUCCCGAGCUUCCUGUUUGUUUUUCUCAUAAAUAUUUUGUGUCUUUUUUCCCCACAGACAAUGCAGAGAGCAGUCUUCCAGGUUUUGAAGUACUUGAUAGUUCAGAUCAGGAGUGAUAAUGAAAGACGCAGACGGCCAUGCAAUAUUGAAGGGGGCCUCUUGAUAUUGGUGAAGGCAGUGAGCUCUACACCCAGCCAAGAUGACUUUACCUGCAGGGUCAACAUUGCAGUCGCUGGCCUGUGGAGUUUUGGAGUGCCAAUGGAAGAAGUUC
Molecule: long non-coding RNA, 284 nt
Organism: Acipenser ruthenus (sterlet)
Lineage: Eukaryota; Metazoa; Chordata; Actinopteri; Acipenseriformes; Acipenseridae
Exons: 3
Source: RefSeq, a predicted model, not a curated record